RNAcentral lists this ribosomal RNA (208 nucleotides) under uncultured bacterium. RNAcentral's name for it is "partial 16S ribosomal RNA". It matches the Rfam family "Bacterial small subunit ribosomal RNA", at positions 568 to 774 of the family's 1533-position model. The record is from RNAcentral.
UGCGUAGGCGGUUUGGUAAGUCAGAUGUGAAAUUCCUGGGCUCAACCGAGGAACUGCAUUUGAUACUGCCAGACUAGAGUACUGGAGAGGAGACUGGAAUUCACGGUGUAGCAGUGAAAUGCGUAGAUAUCGUGAGGAAGGCCAGUGGCGAAGGCGAGUCUCUGGACAGUAACUGACGCUGAGGCACGAAGGCCGAGGGGAGCAAACG